CUAAAUUCUAUACCAAAUCCUAAAUCCUAAAUUCUAUACCAAAUCCUAAAUACUAAAUUCUAUAUCAAAUCCUAAAUCUUAAAUUCUAUACCAAAUCCUAAAUCCUAGUUCAACCUUAAAUCUUAAAUCGAAUCUUAAACCCUUAUCCAACCCUAAAUCCUAAAAAAAUCCUAAAUCCUAAAUCCUAAAUCAAAUCCUAAAUUCUAGUUCAAUCCUAAAUCUUAAC
This 226-nucleotide long non-coding RNA is filed under the name Physcomitrium patens. RNAcentral's name for it is "long non-coding RNA (PPAT_LNC008897)". Lineage: Eukaryota; Viridiplantae; Streptophyta; Bryopsida; Funariales; Funariaceae. The record is from RNAcentral.